Molecule: long non-coding RNA, 1526 nt
Filed under: Chrysemys picta bellii (western painted turtle)
Lineage: Eukaryota; Metazoa; Chordata; Testudines; Emydidae
Description: lncRNA (ENSCPBG00000015180.1)
Source: RNAcentral
ACAAGGACAAAUGCAAAGUGCUCCACUUAGGAAGGAAAAAUCAGUUUCACACAUACAGAAUGGGAAGAGACAGUCUAGGAAGAAACUGGUAGGAAAGUAACAGAAAGCUCAGUAACACCUCCUGGUAAGAAAGGGUGGAGUAGAGCUGGGUGAAUAUUUCAUGUUUGGUUUGCUGGCCGUACCCAACACACAAAUUCACGUCAACUUGAAAUAAAAAAAACAACACCAUUUUCAGUAAACCAAAAAGUAAAAUAAAUAAUUCCUUUUGCAUUGAAUGAAACUUUGUUUGACCUAAAACAAAAUGUUUAAUUUCAGCUUUGAGUUUUUAAAAACAUUAUCUUUUUUUAAAAAUAAAAUGUAAUUAAGUUGUAUAACAAAAAGCUGCUUCAUAUAAAAAAAGUUGCAACAUUUCAUUUUGAACAUAUUGAAACAAAUCACUUUCUUUUUUCUUUACCAACUGAAACAAUUCAACGCCCAUUUGCAAAAUUUUCAAUGGGCCUGAAUCUGCCUUUUUUCAGUGGAAAAAUCUUUCGGUGCAAACAGUUUGCCCAAAUGUAGUCAGGAAGUGAGAUGCAAUUCCACCCUGCUUGCUAAGGCUGGAAAGUAACAGAUCGAAAGGACACUUUUUUUGAAUGGUUGGUGACACUGACAACCCCUGUUUCUUAGGGUUUCCAGAUGUAUUGGUUACACUGUAACCUCCCUGACUUCAGCAGCUGGAGCUACAGUUUCAUCUUGAAGGCAGAAGUAACUGAAAACCUGCAUAUUGGCCUGUUGCAGACUACAAAUGUUACUGAAUUACUUUCACUUUCAAAAUAAUUGUUAUUUCCGUAAGACUUACAAGAAACAGAAAGAGAACAAAGAAAUCACAUGUUUUGGGAAGGCAAUACAAAUACAGCAUAUAUAGACAGACAUGAAACAGAUGCAUUUCCUAUGAAGAUAACAUGCACACCCAGGCACCUUUACGGCCAGGGAAUCUGAUACAAGGAUAAGCCAUAAAAAUGAAAUGCGCAGAAUGCGACGGCAAAUGCCUGGAAGGAGGGACACACUGUCCGGAAUGUCAGCAGGCUCUGAAGUGCCCAGAUGGGUCGCAGAGUCAGACAGAAGGAACUAAACCUUUAGAACUAGAUACAAAUGAACCAAACCCUCUAAGUGCAGGACGGUCAGAAAACGCCCCUGCUGAACAGGAUACAGGACCUGGACUCCAGCCACCAGCGGAUUCUGCUGAAGCGGCCAAUGAGGAACGCAAGGUCGGAGCUACAGACCAAGCCACUGGAGAAGCGGAGACAGAGGAGCAGAAAGAGGGGAAAACACCGGAUAGUAGAGGAUCUGGAAGUUUAGAACCAGAAAUAAAUGAAGGAAAUGAAGAAAAUGAAGGAAAACCUGAGAGUCCAGGACUUUUGAAAGGUGUCCUGUCUGGGCAGGAAUCAGGACCUGGAUCCCAGCUUCAGGCAAAAACAGAGGUAGGAGUUAUUUCCAGGUUUAUGUUUUAAGUCAGCUUAAACAGCUGUUUGGUGGCAGCUGGGUGG